RNAcentral lists this ribosomal RNA (384 nucleotides) under Filifactor alocis. Its description in RNAcentral is "bacterial SSU rRNA". It matches the Rfam family "Bacterial small subunit ribosomal RNA", at positions 65 to 440 of the family's 1533-position model. The record is from RNAcentral. Lineage: Bacteria; Bacillati; Bacillota; Clostridia; Peptostreptococcales; Filifactoraceae.
UAUUAACAGAACCUUUCGGGGCGAAGAAUAUAGAAGUUAGUGGCGGACGGGUGCGUAACGCGUGGGUAAUCUGCCUUUGUCAAAGGAAUAACUAUUCGAAAGAAUAGCUAAAACCGUAUAACAUAUUAAUAGGGCAUCCUAAUAAUAUCAAAACGAUAGUGGACAAAGAUGAGCCCGCGUCUGAUUAGCUAGUUGGUGAGAUAAAAGCCCACCAAGGCAACGAUCAGUAGCCGACCUGAGAGGGUGAACGGCCACAUUGGAACUGAGACACGGUCCAAACUCCUACGGGAGGCAGCAGUGGGGAAUAUUGCACAAUGGGGGGAACCCUGAUGCAGCAACGCCGCGUGAGUGAAGAAGGCAUUCGUGUUGUAAAACUCUGUAGUG